AGCAGCCGCGGUAAUUCCAGCUCCAAUAGCGUAUAUUAAAGUUGUUGCAGUUAAAAAGCUCGUAGUUGAAUUUCGGGGUUAGUAGGUUGGUCAUGCCUCUGGUAUGUACUGGUCUCACUGAUUCCUCCUUCCUGAUGAACCUUAAUGCCAUUUAUUUGGUGUUUUGGGGAAUUUGGACUGUUACUUUGAAAAAUUAGAGUGUUUAGAGCAAGCUAACGCUUGAAUACAUUAGCAUGGAAUAAUGAAAUAGGGCGUUCGAUCCUAUUUUGUUGGUUUCUAGGAUUGACGUAAUGAUUAAUAGGGAUAGUUGGGGGCAUUAGUAUUCAAUUGUCAGAGGUGAAAUUCUUGGAUUUAUUGAAGGCUAACUACUGCGAAAGCAUUUGCCAAGGAUGUUUUCAUUAAUCAAGAACGAAAGUUAGGGGAUCGAAGACGAUCAGAUACCGUCGUAGUCUUAACCAUAAACUAUGCCGACUAGGGAUCGGAUGAUGUUAAUUUUUAAUGACUCA
Molecule: ribosomal RNA, 506 nt
Filed under: uncultured Glomeraceae
Lineage: Eukaryota; Fungi; Glomeromycota; Glomeromycetes; Glomerales; Glomeraceae
Description: SSU rRNA
Rfam family: Eukaryotic small subunit ribosomal RNA
Source: RNAcentral